RNAcentral lists this non-coding RNA (95 nucleotides) under bovine gut metagenome. RNAcentral describes it as "TPP riboswitch (THI element)". It matches the Rfam family "TPP riboswitch aptamer (THI element)". From Rfam's summary of the family: Vitamin B(1) in its active form thiamin pyrophosphate (TPP) is an essential coenzyme that is synthesised by coupling of pyrimidine and thiazole moieties in bacteria. The previously detected thiamin-regulatory element, thi box was extended, resulting in a new, highly conserved RNA secondary structure, the THI element, which is widely distributed in eubacteria and also occurs in some archaea. The record is from RNAcentral.
AUGUCAAGGGGAGCUUGUGUACAGGCUGAGAGGAAGUUGUCAACUUCGACCCGUAACCUGAUUUGGAUAAUGCCAACGUAGGGAAAUAAUUUAUU